This 460-nucleotide ribosomal RNA is filed under the name uncultured bacterium. RNAcentral's name for it is "partial 16S ribosomal RNA". It matches the Rfam family "Bacterial small subunit ribosomal RNA", at positions 338 to 795 of the family's 1533-position model. The record is from RNAcentral.
CCUACGGUGUGCAGCAGUGAGGAAUAUUGGUCAAUGGGCGCGAGCCUGAACCAGCCAAGUAGCGUGAAGGAUGACUGCCCUACGGGUUGUAAACUUCUUUUAUAAAGGAAUAAAGUGAGGCACGUGUGCCUUUUUGUAUGUACUUUAUGAAUAAGGAUCGGCUAACUCCGUGCCAGCAGCCGCGGUAAUACGGAGGAUCCGAGCGUUAUCCGGAUUUAUUUGGUUUAAAGGGAGCGUAGAUGGGUUGUUAAGUCAGUUGUGAAAGUUUGCGGCUCAACCGUAAAAUUGCAAUUGAUACUGGCAGUCUUGAGUACAGUUGAGGUAGGCGGAAUUCGUGGUGUAGCGGUGAAAUGCUUAGAUAUCACGAAGAACCCCGAGUGCGAAGGCAGCUUACUAAACUGUGACUGACAUUGAUGCUCGAAAGUGUGGGUAUCAAACAGGAUUAGAUACCCGGGUAGUC